GAGCAAGACUCUGUCUUAAAACAAAACAAAAAAAAGUCUGCUUAUGUAUACCAGGAAAUAUGUACAAAAAUGUUCUUGCAGCAUUGUUUAUACAGUUAAAUAUCAGAAUGUUCCAAAUGCCUUUCAAAAGUAGAGUUGACAGAUUAUGGUAGAUUCAUAAAAUGAAAUACUGUUGCCGAACACCAGGGGUUCAGCCUAGGCCUGGUUGCUUGCCGCACAGAAAGCCAAUCACUGAGAUGAAUAUUGCCAGGGAAGAACAGCUUUAAUGCCAGUAAUGUCAGCCAGGAGAUGGGAGACCAGUCUCAAAUCCAUCUCUCCAAUUGACUAAAGUUAGGGGUUUAUAUAGUAGGGAAGGAACGUAAAACAAGAAUUAGGGAGGAGUAAGGAAGAGGAGUUGGUCAACGGGCAGCAGGUGGUUGGAUGAGGGGUCUGGUGUCUCACCGUAACCAUAUGCAGGAAAACAGAAAUUCGGGAGGUAUAAAGAAGAGGAGUUUGUCAACAGGCAGCAGCCAUGUCUCAUUGUCUGGAUGUGGUGAUAUGGGAGAUUUCAGUUCCUCGAUUCUCUCUGGGAGGCCUGAUGGUUGGUUUCCUGAGAAAGGAACUCAGAUAAAAACAAAUAUAAGUUUCUCAAUUUUCAGUUUAGUGCAAAAACUGGGUUGAUUUCAAUACUAUACAGGCAAGAAGAUAAAGCACAGCUAUAUGUUAAAACGUGGAUCAAUCUUAAAAGCAUAAUGUUGAAUGAAAGAAACCAAACACAAGAGAAUACAUACUGUACGACUCUAUGAUGUUAAUAAAAACAGGCAAAACUAAACUACACAAAUAGGAAGUCAUGCUUAAGUGGUAAAAUGUUAAAGAAAAGUAAGGAAGUGGUGACCAUAAAAGUCAAUGUUUGGAUCCUGAAUCAAACAAUCUAACUAUUAAAAGAUAUAUUUUGGUCGGGUGUGGUGGCUCACACCUGUAAUCCCAGCACUUUGUGAGGCCAAGAUGGAAGGAUCACUUGAGGCUGGAAGUUAGAGACCAGACUGGGCAACAGAGCAAAACUCUAUCUCUACAAAAAAAAUUCAAAUUAGGUGCACUUGGUUUCUCAAGUCACCCACUUAGCCCUCUUCCAAGUUGUACUUUCCUUCUUUUCUUUCCUUUCCUUACUGUUCUAAAGCUUUUAAAUAAACUUUCACUCCUGCUUUGAAAAAAAUAAAAAUUAGCCAGGAUGGUCUCGAUCCCCUGACCUCGUGAUUAGCCCGCCUCGGCCUCCCAAAGUGCUGGGAUUACAGGCAUGAGCCACCCUUUUUUGUUUUUUUUUUUUUUUUGAUAUGGAUUUUCGCUCUUGUUGCCCAGGCUGGAGUGCAAUGGCUUGAUCUCGGCUCACCACAACCUCCGCCUCCCGAUUUCAAGUGAUUCUCCUGCCUCAGCCUCCCGAGUAGCUGGGAUUACAGGCAUCCACCGCCAGGCCUGGCUAAUUUUGUAUUUUUAGUAGAGACGGGUUUCUCCAUGUUGGUCAGGCUGGUCUCGAACUCCCGACCUCAGGUGAUCCACCCACCUUAGCCUCCCAAAGUGCUGGGAUUACAGGUGUGAGCCACUGCGCCUGGCUGGGCCAAACUUUUUCAUUGUGGUAAACUAUAUAUAACAUAAAAAUUUCUGGAAAGGCUCACUGUAGCUGCCACCUCCCAGGUUCAAGUGAUUCUCCUGCCUCAGCCUC
Molecule: long non-coding RNA, 1696 nt
Filed under: Homo sapiens (human)
Lineage: Eukaryota; Metazoa; Chordata; Mammalia; Primates; Hominidae
Description: HSALNT0282757
Source: RNAcentral